Gallus gallus (chicken) is the source of this 3691-nucleotide long non-coding RNA. Lineage: Eukaryota; Metazoa; Chordata; Aves; Galliformes; Phasianidae. The record is from Ensembl.
CAUUCCUUUCUGAGUUCUGAGGAGUGGUUUUUCCAUUGCAUACCUCUCCCCAGAGCUGUACCGUUGCCAUCUGAACUGGAUGCUGCCAAAAUACUUCCCCGCAUUCAGGACUGAGGACAGCACAGAGGACUGAAGUCAGUUGACAUGAGAUACUCAGAUAAAACUGAUGUGAAGGGUAGGUAUGUACCUAUGGGUUUCCAGCCUGUCAUGGUGUAACCACGGGUACCCAGCCUGGAAAACCUAGAACAGAUAGAUAUUUGUGAGGAUAGUUGUGCUGAUCCCCAUGGUCCUGAUAUUAAACUGCUGGCAAAACUCCAGGCUAGCCAGACUCGGGUCGUCUUUGUUCUCAUUAGGAUCAGAAAAUCAAUCAUAGAAUGGUUUGUGUUGGAAGAGACCUUAAGGAUCAUCUAGUUCCAACACCCCUGCCGUAGACAGGGAUGCAUCCCACCAAACCAGGUUGCCAAAAACCUCAUCCAGCCUGGCCUUGAGCACUCCCAGAGAUGGGGAAUACACAGCUUUUCUGAGCAAUCUGUGCUGGUGCCUCACCAGCUUAGGAGUAAAGAGUGUCUUCCCAAAAUCUAACCUAAAUUUCCCCUCUUUUAGUUUAAAACUGUUCCCCCUUGUCCUACUACCAUGUAAAAUGCUGAUCUCCAAGUGUCUAUGCUACAGCGAAAUAUCAUCAGCAGUCAGAGUCAAGUGCCAUGAUAUGUUCAAAGUCCUUUUCUAGCAGCCAUCCAAGUCCCAAAAUGCAGAGAAACAUCCCCAUGGGGCUCUCAGAGGCAGGGACUUGGUGCUUGGUGCUGGUUCUGCUACUCUGAGUACUUCCAGAGCUGGGUUAAGACUCCUGCAAAAGGUGCUGGAGGACUCCCACAAGCAGUGCCAAAUCUGGCAUACCAGCAACAGAGGAAUUGAAGCACAAAGCUGUUGAGAGUUAAGUGGAGUACCGUUGCUGGCAGUAGGAGGUGGUCAGUGCCUGUGAGCCUGAGACACCGUGUGCAUUUUUGUUCUGUGUUGUUGGUUUUUUUUUUACCUUCCUUCUCCUCUCCCUGUGCUUGUGAUUCCAUCUGCAGGAGGAACUUCUGCCUUUUAUUUACUGCUCCUCUUUAUUUGCAGCCCCAGGCCAAUCUGGGCCAGCACCAACCACAUACCAAAGCCAGCAGGAAUGGUUUUGCCAAAUAGAGACAUGACAGGGAGAAGUUUGGCUGCUUAUUUACACAUGUAACAAGGUCUUCUGCAGCCCCUGAGCUGAACCGAGAAGCUCCUUCAGAACUCAACUCCAUUACAAUUGGUUCAUCACCACACACCCAACUGCAUCACCAACCAUUAGGCUGUCAAGGGUUGAUGAAGAGACAAAGUGAAUGUGCUGUGAUGGGCACAGCAGAGCUGCCAGCCCAGCUGUGUUGGCUUCAAAUUUUGGAAGAAGAGAGGAGUCAGUGAUGAAAUCAGAGCUUUUCUCUCUGGGGAUCUGAGCAAUCAAGUGAAUGAAAGAAUUUCUCUGCCCUUUCUGGCUUUUGGAUCAGGCCCUUGUUUAGGUACUUAGUGCAGGAAUUUGGCCGGGUAGCAUGGCCUCCUCUACUCUGAAUGUGAUUUUCAUCCAACUCAUCAGUAAAAUGGAGUUCAAGGACCUCACUGCAGUCCCAAAUGACUACCCAAAUCAUUCUGUCCCAAAGCAAUGCUGAAUAAAUGACCCAGUGCUCAGAGCUGUUGCUGCUUCUCACCAAGCACGAGCCUGACCAGUGGGACAGGAGCAACUCCAGUGAAUGCAAGUGAGUUAUUUUAGUGGAAAAGAUGAUUAAGAGUCAUUCCUGGAUGCUCUAUGCUUCUUAGACAUGUCUGAGGAUAAUGAGUUUGGAUCCCAGAACUAUUUAAAGAAAUGACACCAAAUUCUCACCCCUCUUGCAUCCCUCAGUUCAUGACAGUGACUCCUGAUUUACACAAGCUUGAAACUGGAAUUUGACUUUAGAAUAAUUCCUUUACCUUCAGCCAGGAACUGCUUACUCCCUUUAAUUAAAAUAUAAAAAUUAAAUGACUUUCUCAAAGUCUGGAGGUGCAAGGUGCAAUGCUAACAUUAGGCUGUAGAUAUUUCUAUCCAGCUGAGAUCUGUAUGGCUCUGUGGCCCUCUGAUAAGCAGUGUGAAAUGAGAAUAUAACCGUAUUUAGGGCUUGAAAAAGAGCAGUAAAGGAAUUCUAGGCUAUGACAGAAUUUUAGGGCAUUAAUUUGAAACUGUUUUUUUAAAACAGGACUAUAUGCAGCAGCAGCAUUGUUGCAGUUUUGGAAUGAAAAAAGGGAUUCCAAACAAGCUCAGAAGAUGAAAUAUCUGAUGUUUAUUUAUUUGGUUGGGUUGGAUUGCGGUGGGUUUUAUUUUUGGCUAAUCAAUGGGCAGUUGCCAGUUGGUUUGUAGAAAGCAAAAUGAAGUUACAAAGAAAGCUGAGGAGUGGGCAUUUCUUGGCUCCAUUGCAGGGGCUGAAUGGUUUCUUUGUGAUCACCAUCUCCAUUUCUUUUUCCAUCAGCAUGGUGUUUAAACAAGGCAAAAAACAAACAAACAAACAAACAAACAAACAAACAAAAAAAACCCAUAGGGUUUUUGAAGGAAUGAUAUACUUUUGGGCUAGAAGGGGGUCUCUCAGACCUGGGAGUAUCAACAUGUGUCAUUAUGAAGCACAUUUCAUUCUGUCUGCACACAAGUUCAUGGUAGCACUUGGUUUGGUUAAAGGUCAUUGGGAACACGUGGUAUGAGAAGCAUAGAUCCUGACAUCAGCCCAUCUUCCCUGCAAGGUGAAGGGUCUAAACCCUCUGCCUGUGUAAAACACCUUCCUUUGCCAUGCCCUGGCUUCUCAGCCUUCAGAUAGCUCAUUGGGCUGAAGAAGGGGUUGGACUGGACACAGCUGUCUCUGCACCAAUGGUGAAAGUGCCAAAUUCUUGGCAAUAAGGACCACAGUCCAGGGCUCCAUGACUCUCCAUGCAACUUUGCACUUUUCACAUACCAGUAUUUAUGGUAGAUGGGACCAUAAUGCUUCUCAAUUGUAGAUGACUCUAGUGGAGCAGGAGACCAAGCCUCACAUAUAUGUAUAUCAGUCUGGAGUGACUCUGGUGCAGUUGUAACUAACUGGUGUUACAAGGAAAAGAAUUAAGUCCCAAUCUGGUAAUUGGUGUCAGACAUCCCAAAAUCCAGAGCAGCAUAGAAUUCAAUCUGUUUUCUUUCAGUCGAUAAGCUUUUACCCUGUUCCCAAACCCAAUAUUCAUACACUGGUGUGAUGAAGUACAGUUACAACUGAUGUUGUUAUUUCCUCUAGAUAUCUAUAAAGUUACAAAACUUGGCUUUCCUGGGCCAACAGAUCAUUUCUUCCACCUCCUUUUCUCUGGAAGUCCUCUGUCUUUGCUCCUCUGCAUGGUGUUGCAUUGUGUUGAAGGGCCCUGGGUUCAAAACCCUACUUCUUUCUAGCACACUGCAGAAUCACGGGGAUAAGAUAGUCAUUGGGACUGGAAGCUGUUUAGCAGGUCUCUAAGGGAAAUUAAUGUCUGUCAUGUUCUGAGGGCCAGGCCUUUAGGACUCCCAGAUUGGCGUCAGUAGAGCACUUGGCGGUUUAUACCCCAGUUUUGUGGAUGUUGUAAACUUGUACGUAGAGGAAAUCUGAAGAGCACAUUUAAAAAGCAAAAAGUCACACGUUUUUUAUACUCUGUGGAUAAUAAA